Molecule: ribosomal RNA, 561 nt
Filed under: uncultured fungus
Lineage: Eukaryota; Fungi
Description: eukaryotic LSU rRNA
Rfam family: 5.8S ribosomal RNA (bases 235-388)
Source: RNAcentral
UCCGUAGGUGAACCUGCGGAAGGAUCAUUAUCAGGAUCGAGGCUUCUGCCCGAUCUCAACGUACCCCCUUGUGGGCGCAGUCCCGCUUGCUCUCGGGCAGCGGUGGGUGCAUCCUUGACUAUUCGUACCUCGUACUUUCCCUCUCUUGGCGGGCUGCAGACCGCCGGAGGGGGGAACCCCCAUAAACCUCUUGCAUCAGAAUCGAACCAGUCUGAACCAAACAAAAAUCGUUACAACUUUCAACAAUGGAUCUCUUGGCUCUGGCAUCGAUGAAGAACGCAGCGAAAUGCGAUAAGUAGUGUGAAUUGCAGAAUUUAGUGAAUCAUCGAAUCUUUGAACGCACAUUGCGCCCUGCGGUACUCCGCAGGGCAUGCCUGUUCGAGCGUCAUUUGAAAACCUCAAGCCCUGCUUGGUGUUGGGCGCCUGUCCCCGCUCCCCGCGGGACUCGCCUCGAAGGUAUUGGCAGCGGUCCCGCCGGCUCCCUCCCGAGCGCAGCAGUGCGCGCAAGGCGGAGGGCCGCGGGCCGCGUCCACGAAGACGGACCCCCAAGGUUUGGACCUC